This 465-nucleotide ribosomal RNA is filed under the name uncultured Klebsiella sp. RNAcentral's name for it is "bacterial SSU rRNA". It matches the Rfam family "Bacterial small subunit ribosomal RNA", at positions 338 to 795 of the family's 1533-position model. Lineage: Bacteria; Pseudomonadati; Pseudomonadota; Gammaproteobacteria; Enterobacterales; Enterobacteriaceae. The record is from RNAcentral.
CCUACGGGAGGCUGCAGUGGGGAAUAUUGCACAAUGGGCGCAAGCCUGAUGCAGCCAUGCCGCGUGUGUGAAGAAGGCCUUCGGGUUGUAAAGCACUUUCAGCGGGGAGGAAGGCGGUGAGGUUAAUAACCUCAUCGAUUGACGUUACCCGCAGAAGAAGCACCGGCUAACUCCGUGCCAGCAGCCGCGGUAAUACGGAGGGUGCAAGCGUUAAUCGGAAUUACUGGGCGUAAAGCGCACGCAGGCGGUCUGUCAAGUCGGAUGUGAAAUCCCCGGGCUCAACCUGGGAACUGCAUUCGAAACUGGCAGGCUAGAGUCUUGUAGAGGGGGGUAGAAUUCCAGGUGUAGCGGUGAAAUGCGUAGAGAUCUGGAGGAAUACCGGUGGCGAAGGCGGCCCCCUGGACAAAGACUGACGCUCAGGUGCGAAAGCGUGGGGAGCGAACAGGGUUAGAUACCCGGGUAGUC